CAGGAAAUGUCCCCCAGUUACCCUUCAAGGAAGGCUGCCCUUCCUCUGAGGUGGGGGUGAAGCAGACAGUCAGGAGUUUUCCUUCUGUGUUGAGCAUCAAGGAGUCCUGCAGAGUGGCCUCAUGGGAUAUCCGCUUGGGGAACACUAUGUGGAUUGUCUCAGCCGGCGCUGCAUCUUGAGGCCAGCAAAGGUGGACACCGUGCCAUGCUGAGGACUGCAGACCAGAUGCAGGCAGGUUCCCAAUGCUGGGCCCAAGAGAGUCCUGUUGAGAGUGUCACUUAAGACCUUGUGACCUCUGUGCAGACCACAUUUUGCAGUAAACCAAUGAGGAGGAAACUGGGAAUAUCAUUUGAGAGAAUAAAUUUAAGAG
Heterocephalus glaber (naked mole-rat) is the source of this 370-nucleotide long non-coding RNA. Lineage: Eukaryota; Metazoa; Chordata; Mammalia; Rodentia; Bathyergidae. The record is from Ensembl.